This 497-nucleotide ribosomal RNA is filed under the name uncultured bacterium. RNAcentral's name for it is "partial 16S ribosomal RNA". It matches the Rfam family "Bacterial small subunit ribosomal RNA", at positions 28 to 507 of the family's 1533-position model. The record is from RNAcentral.
GAUGAACGCUGGCGGCGUGCCUAAUACAUGCAAGUCGAGCGAACAGACGAUGAGGUUGUUCCUCUGAAGUUAGCGGCGGACGGGUGAGUGACAAGUGGAUAACCUACGUAUAAGACUGGGAUAACUUAGGGAAACCGGAGCUAAUAACGGAUAAUAUAUUGAACCGCAUGGUAAAAUAGUGAAAGAAGGGUUUGCUGUCACUGAUAGGAGGAUCAGCGCCUCAUUGGAUAGUUGGUAAGGUAAAGGCUUACCAAGGAAACGAUGCUUAGCCGACCUGAGAGGGUGAUCGGCCACACUGGAACUGAGACACGGUCCAGACUCCUACGGGAGGCAGCAGUAGGGAAUCUUCCGCAAUGGGCGAAAGCCUGACGGAGCAACGCCGCGUGAGUGAUGAAGGUCUUCGGAUCGUAAAACUCUGUUAUUAGGGAAGAACAAAUGUGUAAGUAACUAUGCACGUCUUGACGGUACCUAAUCAGAAAGCCACGGCUAACUACGUG